Molecule: ribosomal RNA, 542 nt
Filed under: uncultured bacterium
Lineage: Bacteria
Description: partial 16S ribosomal RNA
Rfam family: Bacterial small subunit ribosomal RNA
Source: RNAcentral
UAGGGAAUCUUCCACAAUGGACGCAAGUCUGAUGGAGCAACGCCGCGUGAGUGAAGAAGGUUUUCGGACCGUAAAGCUCUGUUGUUGGUGAAGAAGGAUAGAGGUAGUAACUGGCCUUUAUUUGACGGUAAUCAACCAGAAAGUCACGGCUAACUACGUGCCAGCAGCCGCGGUAAUACGUAGGUGGCAAGCGUUGUCCGGAUUUAUUGGGCGUAAAGCGAGCGCAGGCGGAAGAAUAAGUCUGAUGUGAAAGCCCUCGGCUUAACCGAGGAAUUGCAUCGGAAACUGUUUUCUUGAGUGCAGAAGAGGAGAGUAGAACUCCAUGUGUAGCGGUGGAAUGCGUAGAUAUAUGGAAGAAUACCAGUGGCGAAGGCGGCUCUCUGGUCUGCAACUGACGCUGAGGCUCGAAAGCAUGGGUAGCGAACAGGAUUAGAUACCCUGGUAGUCCAUGCCGUAAACGAUGAGUGCUAAGUGUUGGGAGGCUUCCGCCUCUCAGUGCUGCAGCUAACGCAUUAAGCACUCCGCCUGGGGGCAGUACGACC